This 72-nucleotide transfer RNA is filed under the name Ovis aries (sheep). It matches the Rfam family "tRNA". Rfam says of the family: Transfer RNA (tRNA) molecules are approximately 80 nucleotides in length. Their secondary structure includes four short double-helical elements and three loops (D, anti-codon, and T loops). Further hydrogen bonds mediate the characteristic L-shaped molecular structure. tRNAs have two regions of fundamental functional importance: the anti-codon, which is responsible for specific mRNA codon recognition, and the 3' end, to which the tRNAs corresponding amino acid is attached (by aminoacyl-tRNA synthetases). tRNAs cope with the degeneracy of the genetic code in two manners: having more than one tRNA (with a specific anti-codon) for a particular amino acid; and 'wobble' base-pairing, i.e. permitting non-standard base-pairing at the 3rd anti-codon position. The record is from Rfam by way of RNAcentral. Lineage: Eukaryota; Metazoa; Chordata; Mammalia; Artiodactyla; Bovidae.
UCCCUGCUGGCUUAGUCGGUAAAGAAUCUGCCUUCAGUGCAGGAUACCCGGCUUCAAUCCCUGGGCUGGGAA